Molecule: ribosomal RNA, 328 nt
Filed under: uncultured eukaryote
Lineage: Eukaryota
Description: partial 18S ribosomal RNA
Rfam family: Eukaryotic small subunit ribosomal RNA
Source: RNAcentral
CCCUUAGAUGUUCUGAACCGCACGCGUGUUACACUGAUGCAUUCAACGAGCUUAUAACCUUGGCCGAGAGGCCUGGGCAAUCUUGUUAACGUGCAUCGUGAUAGGGAUAGAUUAUUGAAAUUAUUAAUCUUGAACGAGGAAUUCCUAGUAAACGCAGAUCAUCAAUCUGCAUUGAUUACGUCCCUGCCCUUUGUACACACCGCCCGUCGCACCUACCGAUUGGAUGGUCCGGUGAAGCCUCGGGAUUGUGGUUCUUGCCGCUUUAUUGUGGCGUGACCGCGAGAACUUGUCUAAACCUUAUCAUCUAGAGGAAGGUGAAGUCGUAACA